Vitis vinifera (wine grape) is the source of this 1105-nucleotide long non-coding RNA. RefSeq lists it as uncharacterized. The transcript is spliced from 3 exons. The record is from RefSeq and is a predicted model, not a curated record. NCBI's taxonomy places the organism in Eukaryota, Viridiplantae, Streptophyta, Magnoliopsida, Vitales, Vitaceae.
UAUGGUGUGCUAGCUACUUCCAUUUGAGGCUGGUGCAAUUGAUUUUGAUGAUCCAAGAACAAAUUGUCAGCACAGCUUUUACCAACUAAUAAUUCAUCAGAUGGAGUGGUGAGUAACCACGAAACUCCAGUUUCUUGCAGACCCCUGAACAAUUGCAGAAUGAGAAUGUUUCCCGGCAUCUUAUUCCUCACAAGGUAAUGUCCUUUCAGUUUGUGCGCUGAAGUCUUCUUUCAACAACUAAGCUCUGUGCCUUAAUGACUGAAUUUUCUUUCACAGACCUUCUCUAGCAACCAGCCAUCUCUGAGCCUUCUGCUUCCAUCGCUGGAUGCUUAAUAUUUAACAAGUUAGAGAUUUUUUACUCCUUUUUCAUCCUUUAUCGAACCCCCAUGUUGUUCAUGGGGAUAAAUUGUUAGAAGUGUUCAUGGAGUUUGAAUUAUUCCAUGAUGAUCAGAAACUACUAGAAUCUGUCAAGGAUGUGUGAAGAGCAAUCUUUGAAUCAAACAGUGGAGGAAAUUGGCCUUUUGACUUGGGAUCGGACUUUAGAGUUUGUUCUGAAUCAACUUCAUGAAACCAUUUCUCAGCUUCCUGGGAGCUAUGGAACAACAAUAUUGAUGAGUUCCAGAAAGAAAACAUCUGAUGCAACACAAGGAGCAGAUUGAGGAUUUUGGAUGGACGCUCUCUGAGCCCUGGCAAGGUGCUGCCUUUGCUACCCAAUUCCAAUUCUCUAAAUGAAAGAACUGACAGAUCACUUUUUGCUCCAACCAAGUAUAGCUCUGUGCCAACAGUCUCGAACGUGGAACAAGUAAAAUAAAUGGUACCUGCUGAAGCUGAGAGGGCAGAUGAUAAAUUGGUGGUGAAGGUGGACAGCCAAAAGAAUCAGAGAGCAAAAACUAAAAAGCCCAUGAAACCUGGUACUGAAGCGGUCUCAGCACCUGUUUCUGGGAGGGAUGAGAUUGCAGUGACUGAAGAAAAGGAGCAUAAUUAAACAAAGAAGGAAGAGGAGUUGGCCAGGAAGGUAGAGGAAUUGAGAAGUGAAGAUGCAGCCAUGUUGAGGGAGCAAGGCCUGUUGGAGGAGAAAGCCAACGUUAAGGAGGCACUGGAAAGG